RNAcentral lists this long non-coding RNA (1585 nucleotides) under Homo sapiens (human). RNAcentral's name for it is "HSALNT0386757". The record is from RNAcentral. Lineage: Eukaryota; Metazoa; Chordata; Mammalia; Primates; Hominidae.
UGUCUCGGGCAACCUGUAAACAGCCCAAGAGUUAGAUAAAAUUGCUGCCUCAUUCUACUGAGAAAAAGGGCCACUGCAGGGGCCAUCCUGGAGGGAGUCACAAUGCAGGAGGACAGUGGCAAGUUCAAGAGCUACUGCAGCCGGGGAACAGCAGGACAGCAGCACGUUCAAGGGCUCUUGCAGCAGGGCAUAGCAGGGAAAGGCCUCCCUGGGUCUAACCAAUUUACUCCUAUUGAUUUUCAGAUCAGAGGGGUUCAGCUCACAAAUCAAAAGAUGGUUUUCCCUCCCUGCUGCUAAAUCUGCAGCCUCUCCCAGACACCUCACAAAUUCUGCUUUGAUCUUGAUUAGCCUGGAUGCUUCUAGGUUGGAAACUGUAUGGAGGAGGCAGAGAUCUAAAGGUAAUCUGGGCUGCACCAGUCAGCCUGGCAUGGACUGGUGCAUGUACGUGUGCUCACAGGUCCUGGGCGAUGAGGCCGGGCAGCCCAGUGGUGAGAGGUCUGGGAGCUGGGUCCUGAUGUGGGCAUCAUCACCCACUUGUUUAUAACCUUUCACACUUAAACUCCCUAGGCUCUUUUUCUCAAUUGUCAAAUGGAAAUAAGAGCCAUUCCAGCCUUAUGGCUAAGGAACUGGAGCUUCAGAAUCAAACAGAACUGGGUUCAACUCCCACCUAUGUCCUGUGUUACCUCAGGCAAGUCACAUCACCUCUCUGAGCCUCCAUUCCUUCAUCUGAAAAAUAAGCUUCCAGCAAUUCUGGACUCUCAGAGUCAUUGUGAGAAUGACUCAAGAUGAUGCACAUAGAAGUAUUUAACACUUGAAUGGCUUCUAGCAAGAUCAGGAAACACCACCUAUUACUACUAAAUGGGGCUUUGGUAAGAAUAAAACAGAAUCAUGUGUGUAAAGUGCUUUGAAAAGUACAAAGGACUGAAAAGACUCUGAAGGCUUCUGGAAAUCAGUCUACCACAUUUUGGAGCUGGGGUUAGGAAAGACCCUUGGAAGAGGAUCCAAAGAAAGACACUCCAGAGCAAGAUAUAUAGGAGGCCCAAGGACAACCUGCAGUGCAGGGCAGGCCACUUUCUGGGGCUCCAGGUGUUUUCUAUAUGAUUGUGAUCUUGAUGCUCCCCACCUCACCCCACUGUCAGCCCCAAAAAUUCCCAUUGUAUACAAUUCCUUUUACAGACCUACAGCGUGGCAUGGAUAUCCACUGGCUGGCACACCAGAAGCCAUGUUAGACUAAGAGGUGACUCAGGAUGGCCAUGCACUGGAGGUAGCAAAGCAGAGAGAAAGGAGUCUGCCUGAUGACAGCCUACAGCCUCCAUUACCAGGCCUGGGCCAAUCACCUCUGGACUUUUUCUACAUGAGAGAAUAAACCAUUAUAUGUUUAAAUCUGUAUUGUUUCCAGCUUUUAUAUGGCAGGAAGAAGUCUUACUAACUUCAACUGUUUAAAAUUCUGUUCAGAGGCCUAGUGCCUAGUAGGUUAUUCCCAGCCUGAGCCCUGAGCUGAGACUCAUUACUAAUGGCUUUCAAAUCAGUGGGAAGCAAGUUUGGAAAUGUGUUCAUCAUCGUUACUGGUAAAUAUUGAUUAAGA